AGGGAGUUAGUAUAAUAAUACCAUUGACUUAGGAUCAAUAAAUAAGAAAUCCUUACCCCCUA
This 62-nucleotide transfer RNA is filed under the name Utterbackia imbecillis (paper pondshell). RNAcentral describes it as "tRNA-Leu". Lineage: Eukaryota; Metazoa; Mollusca; Bivalvia; Unionida; Unionidae. The record is from RNAcentral.